CCUACGGGAGGCUGCAGUGGGGAAUCUUGCGCAAUGGGCGAAAGCCUGACGCAGCGACGCCGCGUGAGGGAUGAAGGUCUUCGGAUCGUAAACCUCUGUCAGCAGGGAAGAACGGUCACUGUGCUAAUCAGCAGUUAAUUGACGGUACCUGCAAAGGAAGCACCGGCGAACUCCGUGCCAGCAGCCGCGGUAAUACGGAGGGUGCGAGCGUUAAUCGGAGUUAUUGGGCGUAAAGCGAUCGUAGGCGGUAUGAUAAGUCAAAGGUGAAAGCCUCGGGCUCAACGUGGGAACUGCAUCUGAAACUGGCAAACUGGAGUGUGUGAGAGGAUAGUGGAAUUCCAGGUGUAGGAGUGAAAUCCGUAGAUAUCUGGAGGAACACCAGUGGCGAAGGCGGCUAUCUGG
RNAcentral lists this ribosomal RNA (402 nucleotides) under uncultured bacterium. RNAcentral's name for it is "partial 16S ribosomal RNA". It matches the Rfam family "Bacterial small subunit ribosomal RNA", at positions 338 to 732 of the family's 1533-position model. The record is from RNAcentral.